RNAcentral lists this ribosomal RNA (509 nucleotides) under Ditylum brightwellii. RNAcentral's name for it is "partial Eukaryotic small subunit ribosomal RNA". It matches the Rfam family "Eukaryotic small subunit ribosomal RNA", at positions 614 to 963 of the family's 1831-position model. Lineage: Eukaryota; Bacillariophyta; Thalassiosirophyceae; Lithodesmiales; Lithodesmiaceae. The record is from RNAcentral.
UGCAGUUAAAAAGCUCGUAGUUGAAACUUGGGCCUGGCUGGCAGGUCCGCCUCACCGCGUGUACUUGUCCGGCCGGGUCUUCCUUCUGGAGAACCUCAUGCCCUUCACUGGGCGUGUUGGGGACCAGGACUUUUACUUAAUUUCUGCGUAUGCCUAGUUCUGGCUUUGGUCAAGCUAGUGUGUGCGCAUCCGCUUGCAAAUCCGGACCGGCGUUUACUCGUCGACCGGGGGAGUAGGCCCUUUACCUUGAAAAAAUUAGAGUGUUUCAGGCAGGCAAUGUGAAAAAAUUAGAGUGUUCAAAGCGCUCGAAUACAUUAGCAUGGAAUAAUAGGGCUUACGCUUGAAUAUAUUAGCAUGGAAUAACACUAUAGGACUCCUGUCCUAUUUUGUUGGUCUUCGGGACGGGAGUAAUGAUUAAGAGGAACAGUUGGGGGCAUUCGUAUUUCAUUGUCAGAGGUGAAAUUCUUGGAUUUACGGAAGACGAACUACUGCGAAAGCAUUUACCAAGG